This 497-nucleotide ribosomal RNA is filed under the name uncultured bacterium. Its description in RNAcentral is "partial 16S ribosomal RNA". It matches the Rfam family "Bacterial small subunit ribosomal RNA", at positions 28 to 507 of the family's 1533-position model. The record is from RNAcentral.
GACGAACGCUGGCGGCGUGCCUAACACAUGCAAGUCGAGCGAACGGACGAGAAGUUUGCUUUUCUGAUGUUAGCGGCGGACGGGUGAGUAACAUGUGGAUAACCUACCUAUAAGACUGGGAUAAUAUCGGGAAACCGGAGCUAAUACCGGAUAAUAUUUUGAACCGUAUGGUUCAAAAGUGAAAUACGGUCUUGCUGUCAGUUAUAGCUGGAUACGCGCUGCAUUAGUUAGUUGGUAAGGUAACGGCUUACCAAGGCAACGAUGCAUAGCCGACCUGAGAGGGUGGUCGGCCACACGGGAACUGAGACAGGGACCAGACUCCUGCGGUAGGCAGCAGACGGGAAUCUUCCGCAAUGGAGGAGAGCCUGACAGAGCAACGCCGCGUAAGUGAUGAAGGUCUUCUGAUCGGAAAGCUCUGUUGUUAGGGAGGAACAUAUGUGUAAGUAACUGUGCAGAUAUUGACGGUACCUAGUCAAAAAGCCACGGCUAACUACGUG